CCAAAUGAUGGGGAGCAAAAGGCUCUUCGUCCCGGUUGGUGAUGGGCUUCCAAAAAAAGAGGGGCGGGGGGAUGGGGACGCUUCCGAAAUAGCCCAAGAACUCCUGGAGGAACUUUGCAAGACUUUGGGAGCUCGAGCGCAUGAUUCAGAUCCCCGAGGGGGUCUGUUGCCUGGCCUGGGUUGUUGGUUUUAUUUUUAUUUUAUUGGACUAUUCUGCCCCACUCCAAGACAGCACGUGAUGGGCAAGACAGAAGGCUCCUCUGCUUCCCUUUAGCCCCAUCAUCCUUGAGAAACUUGUCCCCCUAACCUUGGGAAGGUGGGGGGAAGAGAAGCGCAGCAAGGCAAAGACCCGGCAGAGAGCGAGGAAGGGGAUUGCACACACCCCAACUCCGCCCCUCACUUGUCUGCAGCCAUCCAGCUUUAAGGAGACUUUGGGGCUGAAGGAGACAAGGGGGUAAGAUGUGAUACACGCGCCCGCGCCUGCACACAACCCCGGCUCCGACUCGGGUCCUACCUUUCGGAUUUGGUGAACUUCCGAAACGCCUGCCGGAGGUCGUGGAAGGAGCGAUAGGUCUGAGGCUCGGCGGAGAUGCCUUGCGCCCGGGUGGUGCGGGGUCCGAUGUGGGUGGUGGGCGCGGGGAGCACCGACUGACACUUGUGCAGCUUCCUCUUCAGCUCCUGGAGCUCCUCGUCCUUCUCCGACAAGCGCUUCUCCAGCUCUUUAAUCCGCUCAUCCUUCAGCAGCAGAAGCUUGGCAAAGUCCCCUUCCAGCUCGCUCAUGUUGCAGCAACCCUCGCUUCGCUCCAACUUUUGCUAUCCCGUAAGGAAGCGAGCGGGGAGCGGCGGCGGCGGCAGCAGCGACCCAAGCGAGCGCGGAGUGAAUGGAGCCUCUAAGAGAGAGGAAAGGGUAAAGAGAGAGAGCGGGCGAGCGAGUGAGUGCGAGAGGAAAAAAAAGGCCUCUCAGAAUGCCAAGGCAAAGUUCUGCCACUUUCAUUUCUAGUACCCGAAGUGCCCCUUUGGUAAAUGAAUAUAAUUGAACUAUGGAUAGAGUUUUGCAGAUUGAUCAGCCUUCAUUAUCCAAACACAAACACAUGACUGGUAUAGACUUUGAAUUGUGGCUGAUGUGUCAAGAACAACAAAAAGAGGCUUUGGUUGAAGCUCAAAACUUACACAGAAACUACUGGAUGCUGUAAAACUGCGACAUAAAUGUGAAGAUGGUAAUUACAAAUGGUGGCAGAAUUUUGUGUCAAUACAACACCAGAAGAAUUAUACCAAUGCAAAGCAAAGUGGCAUCUGUCUUGUUCCAAGAAGUGCAUGCACACUGGUAAUCUGGAAAGAUUACAGGCUAGAUACAACUAAAAAGUGGCAGAACAUUCAGCUGGUUAAAGCACGGUAAGCAGGAAUGAGGCUCCCUGCACAAGAUCAAAAGGUGUACAAGUACAAAAGAAUGCCUGCUUCUUUUGUGAUAGACCUGAAGCUUGAAGGUAUCCAUUUCAUGUAAUAUAACUGCAGUGUUAUCAGCUGUAUAAAGUCAUUCACU
Rhineura floridana is the source of this 1540-nucleotide long non-coding RNA. RefSeq lists it as uncharacterized. The record is from RefSeq and is a predicted model, not a curated record. NCBI's taxonomy places the organism in Eukaryota, Metazoa, Chordata, Lepidosauria, Squamata, Rhineuridae. The transcript has 3 exons.